RNAcentral lists this unclassified non-coding RNA (236 nucleotides) under Hevea brasiliensis (rubber tree). Lineage: Eukaryota; Viridiplantae; Streptophyta; Magnoliopsida; Malpighiales; Euphorbiaceae. The record is from RNAcentral.
UCAUUGAUAGGAGCGAUGUGACCAGCGAUUCUCAACUUUCCAUAAAGUUGGCCUAUAUGCUCAGUCAGAGGAGUAUAAGUUUUUUCAAGUCUCUCCUCAACCUUGAAGAGAUUUUUGCGGAUAUGCGGUGGAGUGACGACUUUGGCAUUGUGACUAGGAUAUGUAGGCUGUUGAUAUGGACGAGGAGGCCUUUGGUACGGGGACAUUUGAUAUGGAAGGAUUGGAAAUGAUAUGAG